This is a long non-coding RNA of Oncorhynchus keta (chum salmon), 1448 nucleotides long. RefSeq lists it as uncharacterized. The record is from RefSeq and is a predicted model, not a curated record. NCBI's taxonomy places the organism in Eukaryota, Metazoa, Chordata, Actinopteri, Salmoniformes, Salmonidae. The transcript has 2 exons.
ACUACUGACCUAUUAUGAACCGCACACUGACACAGUUAUGCAAUGCAACGUUCAGACAGACUCCUUAUAAACCAUUUCAAAGCUCGGUAAAACCCACAAACCGUGUUAUAAUAAAGAUGUAUAUGUGCUCCCACCACAGAGUUUCGAAGAUUUAGGCUUUUGCUAUACAGUGGAAAAUCAAGAUCUAGCCAAGUCACAUUAUAGUGAAUAUGAUCCAAUGCGUUAUACAGCAUCGUUCCAUAACGCACCCGCAAACACCAAACUAUGUAGGAGUCAACAAAACCAUGCCAAAUUCACCAACCUGUCAGGGCAAGAAUAUGGAAACAGCCCGAGACCCGCGACCAUUGGUGAAAAACGACGACAGUCUCUUUAUAUAAGGACGUCAUCGCCAUAACCAGCGGAACACGGGGUGGUCGAAUCACUACAAAAGACUGGAAAAUGAAUGGAGCGUCGUCAGUGGUUGGUUCACAGGGGCUCAAACGGCUGGCUGUUAUCUAAACGGUUAUACAAGUGUGUGUACUGUCAAUGUGGGUGAAUUACUUAACCAUAUCCUUGCAUGGUGAUACGCAUAGGUGUUUUCCAGCAUUACACGUAUGUUUGGCAGUAUGAACUAUCCCGUUUGUUAGAAAAUGAUACAUGUUCAUAAACAUUAUUAGACAAUGCUUUGUUUUUAGAAAAGUUGCAAUUAUGCACGACUGUUAAUGCGUAAUAAUACGCUAUUUUAUCGUAUUUCAGCAUAGGGUAAAAAAACAAAAACAAGAUACAAACAUUAUACGAAAGCAUGUUGGAAUGUCAAAUAAAUCUCCAUGUCUUCUUUUAGGCUGUUGAUGUAAGGUUCUGUAUUUAUUUUCUUAGUCAACCUUGUGUUCUGUUUCGUUGUGUUCUUGAUUGUAGCCCUGUUUUUAAUUUUUGCUCAUUGAUUUCACCUUGUGUUAGUUACUCACCUGGUCUCAUCAACUCCUUAUUUAGUUCAGUUCAUUCUGUUUAUGCCUUUGUGAGGUAUUGUUCUUUUUGACUCUACUAAGCCUUUUCCUAGCUGGUUUGUGAGAACCAGUUAUAGCCUUCAGUCCUAGUUGAUUCACUGCCUGUUUUCCAACCUGUGUAUUGCCUGCCUGUGACCACGAAUCCUGCCUUCUGAGAAGGCGAAAUAUCCACCUGCCGCGCUCUGCGCGUGAAUCUACAUAUUUCUCUCCCUGAAUAUGCAUUACACUUGAAACAGUGAACGUUUAUCCAGACGCAGAGCAAGCAAAGCGUUCCUAGAAAGUUGUUGGUCCAUUUAUCAUGCGAUGAUGAAAAUUGUCUCUGGAAUAUGGGCCUACUACUGUUGCACAAACGGGAGACAAUCCUGCUCUUUGUCAGUAAGAAGUACCGUGUUCGCAAUUACAAAUGUACUAUUUUCCUGUGGGCAUAUGUCAGCACACGCUUAUGGUGCAACAUAGUAGACUUGA